CAGCCUUCUCGGAUGUCUUUUUGAAUCAAUGUCUUCUGGCACUGUGUGGACUUGGCGAGACACCAACCUGAGCACAGUGAGACUCGGUAUCGCAGGCCGUCACAGACGUAGUCCCUGAAAACUGGGACAAACAGAAAACAAAGUAAGGAAAAAGCGAGCAUGCAGAACAGAGCAGCUUGCUGCUUGAAUUCAUCUGAGUGCAAACUCAGUGCCGCUGUAUCACUGCUUCGAUCAGAAGACAAAAGCAACCGCAGUUUCUAAUCCCCCACAGCUGCAACUGUUAACCGAGAUCAAAAUGAUGGAGACUGCCGUCUACUGGAUACUGAGUCAAUGAUGAAAGAUAGCAAAUUUGCCUACUCAGAGGGAAUCAUAGAAUGGCCUGGGUUGAGAAGGACCACAAUGAUCAUCGAGUUUCAACCCCCCUGCUAUGUGCAGGGUCGCCAACCACCAGACCAGGCUGCCCAGAGCCACAUCCAGCCUGGCCUUGAAUGCCUCCAGGGAUGGGGCAUCCACAGCCUCCUUGGGCAGCCUGUUCCAGUGUGUCACCACCCUCUGGGUGAGAUUGUCCCCUCCAGCCUGUAUGUCUUACCUAAUCUGUCAAAUCUCCUCGUGGAGAGUAGGACCUCUGUCACUGCAUUUCAGAACAAGGCACUCUAUAACUGGCAAAUACUGGUGCAAAAACGUGAAUCUUUUUUUACCUGUUGCAUCCACUUUAGCAAUCUCUACUGGCUUCAAAAUAUGCAUGUAAUCCUAUACUGAAUAAUCUCUUUUCAUAUAGCCUGUGCUAAUCUUAACACUAUGAUGUCAUCCAAAAUCCACAGUAUUGGUGAAACAUGUUUUAAUAUUCCAGCUCUUUUGAUCAUCCCUCGUAAAUCAAUCCCUCAAUCUCUUUAAUUAUUUUAAUUGCUCUUCUUUAAAUUCCCCUUGAGUGUAAUUUUCUAAUAGGAAGAUUUCCCAAAAUAUCCCAGGCAUGACUUAGUUAAGUAGUAGGCAAAGAGUAGUCAUGCCAAAGGAACGGAAGAGAAAAAUCUGUUAGUUUCUUCCUCAGUGAUUCACUUCACUUGGAGGGGCAUCUGUGGGCUUUCUGAUAUGUCUGCUCUGUAAGACCACAUAUAAUUUACUGUCUGCUUUCACUCCUACAGGUCAAUACUGCAGAUUUCUUCCUUUUGCUGAAUGUUUUCCUGUGGCUAUACCAAGAUUUCCAAGAUCUCGUUUCUGCAGAUUCCUGCAAGAGAGGAGCCAAGAGCUGUAACGUUCGUAGUGCCUGACAACAUUAAUCAUCGAUCCUAUUGCGAACUGCUUCUGGGUGGGAUGUUUCUGGGUUUGUAACUACAUAUGGCUCCUAUCAUUUGCGGCUUCCGCAAGCAAUUCUAGUUAUCCUUCAUUAAAAAGACUUUAAAUAAAAGGUUUUAAAGAUUCUCCAGCGCUAGCGAAGCCAUGGGAAGGCAGCAACCUCUCUGCUCGGUAAGGGCAGGGGUGAGGAGCAGCUCCGUGGCCCCAACGCUGGGGCUGCCCUUGCUGUUGGUAGCUGCUCCAUGGCCCCGGCGCUAGGAGACCGUCCAGGAAUUUCGUUGCAGGGGACCGAAUCUUAAAGGAAACGGGGGUUGUUUUUGUUUUUUUUUUCCCCUAGCCGCACGGUGCGGGCGGGAGCCGCCUGAGGGAGCGCCCUCCGCCGCCAUCUCCCGCCUUUUUCUUCCCCCUCCCCGGCUCGCAACCGCGGCUGCCAUCUCGCCACCCCCACGCCACCCUCCCCC
This is a long non-coding RNA of Gallus gallus (chicken), 1754 nucleotides long. NCBI's taxonomy places the organism in Eukaryota, Metazoa, Chordata, Aves, Galliformes, Phasianidae. The record is from Ensembl.